CCUGCCAAGGAAGCACACUUCGGUCAUAGAUUAAGCCAUGCAAGUGUUAGUUCAGGCAACGAAACUGCGAAUAGCUCAUUAAUACGCUCAGAAUCUAUUUGACGGCGACUAGUCAUAGUCUUACAUGGAUAGCAGGGGUAACUCUCGUGCUAAUACAUGCUAUUUGUUUCUUUGGAAGGGAAGUACAAAGGAAAAGUUGACCGCAAGGCACGUCAUUCGAUUGAGCGACCUAUCAGCUUGUACUUAGGAUCUUUACCUAGGUAGGCUAUCACGGGUAACGGGCGGUUACCGUCGGACUGCCGGAGAAGGCGCCUGAGAGAUAGCGACUAUAUCCACGGGUAGCAGCAGGCGCGAAACUUACCCACUCGAAACUCUCGGAGGUGGUAAUGACCAGUUUCAGAAUUAGGCAUAAGUCUAUUUUGAAUAGGAGAUCAAUUUUCCAUUGAUCUGCAAUCUAGCAGAGGGCCAGUCUGGUGCCAGCAGCUGCGGUAAUUCCAGCUCUGCAAGUUUGCUCCCAUAUUGUUGCAGUUAAAACGCCCGUAGUCUGAAUUUUCUCGAAAGAGAACUAUUCCUUUUUGGAGUUCACUGUGGACCAAACAGGACGCUUAGAGUAGGGUUUACUUGAAUGAUUUAGCGCAGUAUGAAUUUUUACCUUUUGGUAAGAUCAAUGAGAGCCAUCGGGGAUAAAUCUAUUACAUGGCGAGCGGUGGAAUGCUCUGACCCAUGUGAGAGAACAAAAGCGAAGGCAUUAUCUAGAGGGUUUCUGUCGAUCAAGGGCGAGAGUAGGAGUAUCCAACCGGAUUAGAGACCCGGGUAGUUCCUACUAUAAACGAUGCCGACAGGGGCUAGUUAUUUUAGAAUAGCUGGACCUUAGGAGAAAUCAUAGUUCUUGGGCUCUGGGGGAACUACGACCGCAAGGCUGAAACUUGAAGGAAUUGACGGAAGGGCACACCAGGGGUGGAGCCUGUGGCUUAAUUUGAAUCAACACGGGGAAACUUACCAGGACCAGAUGUUUUUUGUGACUGACAGGCUUUAGGUCUUUCAGGAUAUGAUUUUUGGUGGUGCAUGGCCGUUGGUGGUGCGUGGGUUGACCUGUCUAGCGUUGAUUCAGCUAACGAGCGAGAUUAUCGCCAAUUACCUAGGACAUUUUGCUUUCAAAGUGUUCUUCUAAUUGGGACUCCCUGCGAUUAAGCAGGCGGAAGAGGGUAGCAAUAACAGGUCCGUGAUGUCCUUUAGAUGCUCUGGGCUGCACGCGUGCUACAAUGUUAGUCUCAAUGGGAUGCUAACCCGAUAGGGGCAGCUACUCUGCGAAUGUCUAACGUAGUUGGGAUUGAUGAUUGUAAUCAUCAUCAUGAACCAGGAAUCCCUUGUAAAUGUGUGUCAUCAGCGCACGUUGAAUACGUCCCUGCCCUUUGUACACACCGCCCGUCGCUCCUACCGAUUGGAUGACUCGGUGAAAUUACCGGAGUUUUUUAAAUGAAGGUAAUUAAAUCACGUUAUCUAGAGGAAGGAGAAGUCGUAACAAGGUAUCGGUAGGUGAACCUGCCGAUGGAUCAGUU
Molecule: ribosomal RNA, 1559 nt
Filed under: Trichomitus sp. 1 ex Geochelone sulcata
Lineage: Eukaryota; Parabasalia; Hypotrichomonadida; Hypotrichomonadidae
Description: SSU rRNA
Rfam family: Eukaryotic small subunit ribosomal RNA
Source: RNAcentral